GUGGGGAAUAUUGGACAAUGGGCGAAAGCCUGAUCCAGCCAUGCCGCGUGUGUGAAGAAGGUCUUCGGAUUGUAAAGCACUUUAAGUUGGGAGGAAGGGCAGUAAGUUAAUACCUUGCUGUUUUGACGUUACCGACAGAAUAAGCACCGGCUAACUUCGUGCCAGCAGCCGCGGUAAUACGACGGGUGCAAGCGUUAAUCGGAAUUACUGGGCGUAAAGCGCGCGUAGGUGGUUUUGUAAGUUGUAGGUGAAAUCCCCGGGCUCAACCUGGGAACUGCCUCCAAAACUGCAUGACUAGAGUACGGUAGAGGGUAGUGGAAUUUCCUGUGUAGCGGUGAAAUGCGUAGAUAUAGGAAGGAACACCAGUGGCGAAGGCGACUACCUGGACUGAUACUGACACUGAGGUGCGAAAGCGUGGGGAGCAAACAGGAUUAGAAACCCCUGUAGUCC
This 450-nucleotide ribosomal RNA is filed under the name uncultured bacterium. Its description in RNAcentral is "partial 16S ribosomal RNA". It matches the Rfam family "Bacterial small subunit ribosomal RNA", at positions 354 to 796 of the family's 1533-position model. The record is from RNAcentral.